This 900-nucleotide ribosomal RNA is filed under the name Mediaster bairdi. RNAcentral's name for it is "partial 16S ribosomal RNA". It matches the Rfam family "Bacterial large subunit ribosomal RNA", at positions 1118 to 2597 of the family's 2925-position model. The record is from RNAcentral. Lineage: Eukaryota; Metazoa; Echinodermata; Asteroidea; Valvatida; Goniasteridae.
UAUCUUUUUUAAAAGCGUUAAAGCUUUUCCUUUUGAGAAAUUUAGUAGAAAAUUUUGGAGUAUAAGUUCAAGAUUGUAGUAAAGUAUUGGGAAUUUCCAUUUUUUUGGAAGUUAUAAUGCUGAAAUUAGUAAAGAUAAGCUUUUAUUAUCUGAGGAUUGAACAAGCCUAACUUUGGAUGGGAAAAUAGAUUACGAAUCAAGAAGUAGUUUUUAUGGAUUGUCUGCCGACUCAGGGGAUAAGGUUUUUAAGAAUCAAGGAAAAGGAACUCGGCAAAUUUAUAUCUNNNNNNNNNNNNNNNNNNNNCGCCCUUCGCAAAGUAUUYUAAUGUAUGAAGGGUCCUGCCUGCCCAGUGACUUCUAGUUAAACGGCCGCGGUAUCUUGACCGUGCAAAGGUAGCAUAAUCAUUUGCCUCUUAAAUAGGGGCUGGUAUGAAUGGCAAGACGGGGUUUAGCUGUCUCUUCCUUGAUGAAUUUAAAUUUAAUUUCUUUGUGAAGAAGCAAAGAUGUAAUCGUAGGACGAGAAGACCCUGUCGAGCUUAAGCAGAAAAUAAGGGCAAGUGUUAAAAGUAUUCUUUUGCUAAUGCACCCUGCGGGGGUAAAGGUUUUUACUUUAGAUAUGGGUAUGCUGUGCACUUUAUGUUUUGAUUGGGGCAAUCACGGAGAAGAAAUACCCUCCGUUGUAAAAGAUUAAUGUUGUGAAGAGACUUCUUUAAAAUGUAAGAAUACAUAUUUAUGAUCCACAAGUUAAGUGAGUAAAGGAACAAGUUACCGCAGGGAUAACAGCGUAAUUUUUUUGGAGAGUUCAUAUUGAUAAGAAAGUUUGCGACCUCGAUGUUGGAUCGGGAUUUCCAGGAGAUGCAGCAGUUUCCAAGGGUUGGUCUGUUCGACCAUUAAAAUCCU